AGCCACACAGUGAAUAUAAAAUGAACAUUUCUUUCGCCUUUUACUAAAGAAUACCGUGUAUUCGCUACACUAAAGUGGUAUACGCCUAUUUUUAGAGAGACCCAUAACAACUGAAGGGCU
Molecule: small nuclear RNA, 120 nt
Filed under: Helianthus annuus (common sunflower)
Lineage: Eukaryota; Viridiplantae; Streptophyta; Magnoliopsida; Asterales; Asteraceae
Description: U5 spliceosomal RNA
Rfam family: U5 spliceosomal RNA
About the family: U5 RNA is a component of both types of known spliceosome. The precise function of this molecule is unknown, though it is known that the 5' loop is required for splice site selection and p220 binding, and that both the 3' stem-loop and the Sm site are important for Sm protein binding and cap methylation.
Source: RNAcentral